RNAcentral lists this ribosomal RNA (465 nucleotides) under Vreelandella stevensii. Its description in RNAcentral is "partial 16S ribosomal RNA". It matches the Rfam family "Bacterial small subunit ribosomal RNA", at positions 338 to 795 of the family's 1533-position model. The record is from RNAcentral. Lineage: Bacteria; Pseudomonadati; Pseudomonadota; Gammaproteobacteria; Oceanospirillales; Halomonadaceae.
CCUACGGGUGGCAGCAGUGGGGAAUAUUGGACAAUGGGCGAAAGCCUGAUCCAGCCAUGCCGCGUGUGUGAAGAAGGCCUUCGGGUUGUAAAGCACUUUCAGUGGGGAAGAAAGCCUUGGGGCUAAUACCCUCGAGGAAGGACAUCACCCACAGAAGAAGCACCGGCUAACUCCGUGCCAGGAGCCGCGGUAAUACGGAGGGUGCGAGCGUUAAUCGGAAUUACUGGGCGUAAAGCGCGCGUAGGCGGUCUGAUAAGCCGGUUGUGAAAGCCCCGGGCUCAACCUGGGAACGGCAUCCGGAACUGUCAGGCUAGAGUGCAGGAGAGGAAGGUAGAAUUCCCGGUGUAGCGGUGAAAUGCGUAGAGAUCGGGAGGAAUACCAGUGGCGAAGGCGGCCUUCUGGACUGACACUGACGCUGAGGUGCGAAAGCGUGGGUAGCAAACAGGAUUAGAUACCCCUGUAGUC